Molecule: ribosomal RNA, 497 nt
Filed under: uncultured bacterium
Lineage: Bacteria
Description: partial 16S ribosomal RNA
Rfam family: Bacterial small subunit ribosomal RNA
Source: RNAcentral
GAUGAACGUUGGCGGCGUGCCUAAUACAUGCAAGUCGAGCGAACAGACGAGGAGCUUGCUCCUCUGACGUUAGCGGCGGACGGGUGAGUAACACGUGGAUAACCUACCUAUAAGACUGGGAUAACUUCGGGAAACCGGAGCUAAUACCGGAUAAUAUAUUGAACCGCAUGGUUCAAUAGUGAAAGACGGUUUUGCUGUCACUUAUAGAUGGAUCCGCGCCGCAUUAGCUAGUUUGUAAGGUAACGGCUUACCAAGGCAACGAUGCGUAGCCGACCUGAGAGGGUGAUCGGCCACACUGGAACUGAGACACGGUCCAGACUCCUACGGGAGGCAGCAGUAGGGAAUCUUCCGCAAUGGGCGAAAGCCUGACGGAGCAACGCCGCGUGAGUGAUGAAGGUCUUCGGAUCGUAAAACUCUGUUAUUAGGGAAGAACAAAUGUGUAAGUAACUAUGCACGUCUUGACGGUACCUAAUCAGAAAGCCACGGCUAACUACGUG